Gasterosteus aculeatus aculeatus (three-spined stickleback) is the source of this 574-nucleotide long non-coding RNA. The record is from Ensembl. NCBI's taxonomy places the organism in Eukaryota, Metazoa, Chordata, Actinopteri, Perciformes, Gasterosteidae.
CAAUACGUCAUGGCAGGAUUGUAAGAGGAGGCUGGGGGGCACCAUCGCUGGGGAAGAAUGGCAAACAAAAUGCACUCAUAGGACGCAAGAAGGAUGAGUAGAAGAAAAACGAGGAGAGUGUCUUCCGUGCUAAUUAGCCACGUAGCGCUGACGAAGAUGCGGGCCAGCGGGGCCAGACAGAGAGAGAGCUAUGGGCCUAUAGUGGGAACAGACCCAGCCAUACCUGAGUAGGGCCGGCCACGGCGGUAAUGAACCUCUUCACAUGGCCGUUCACCCAAAAGGAAAAGAGGUGGCUAAAGAAAGGAGGGCAGAGGAAGAGGAGGGGGCGCAGCCUAAUUUCACAGCCGGAGAAUAGCAGUGUACGCCGAACACACUGUGUGGCCAAACUCAGUGUUAUUCUGAGAAACAGUGAAUGAAAACACGCCACAGAGAAUGAAAACAAACCGCAGAGAAUGGAAACCGGUGAUGAAGAGGAUUGUGAAAUGAUGGUGUCGGCUGUGAGAACGCGGGCAGAUUUUUGGAUGGGUUAGCGUGAAAACCGUUAAUUUUGCACAAUUCUACAAACAUCAUCCCA